UUUCCGUAGGUGAACCUGCGGAGGGAUCAUUCAUAAUAAAGUGUUUUAUGGCACUUUUUAAAAAUCCAUAUCCACCUUGUGUGCAAUGUUAGAUCUCGUCAAUCUUGGCGAGAUUUUUAUACAUCAACUCAUUCUUUAACUAAUUUGUCUGAAAAAUAUUAUGAAUACUUAAUUCAAAAUACAACUUUCAACAACGGAUCUCUUGGCUCUC
Molecule: unclassified non-coding RNA, 211 nt
Filed under: plant metagenome
Description: partial contains small subunit ribosomal RNA, internal transcribed spacer 1, and 5.8S ribosomal RNA
Source: RNAcentral